RNAcentral lists this unclassified non-coding RNA (252 nucleotides) under uncultured fungus. Its description in RNAcentral is "partial contains 5.8S ribosomal RNA, internal transcribed spacer 2, and large subunit ribosomal RNA". The stretch from base 1 to 52 matches the Rfam family "5.8S ribosomal RNA", at positions 103 to 154 of the family's 154-position model. Lineage: Eukaryota; Fungi. The record is from RNAcentral.
AACGCAUAUUGCGCCCUUUGGUAUUCCGAAGGGCAUGCCUGUUCGAGCGUCAUUAUCACAAUAUCAAGCUUGGCUUGUUGUUGGGCCCUUUGUCACCUGGUGACAGGUCCAAAAGACAAUAACCGGUGUCAUACAGACUCUAUAUGCAACGAGCUUAUAACAGCACGCAUCUGGUAGUCAUGUGGCCCGGUUCUCACCUCUUUAUUUUUCAAGGUUGACCUCGGAUCAGGUAGGAAUACCCGCUGAACUUAA